Molecule: long non-coding RNA, 102 nt
Organism: Myotis brandtii (Brandt's bat)
Lineage: Eukaryota; Metazoa; Chordata; Mammalia; Chiroptera; Vespertilionidae
Exons: 3
Source: RefSeq, a predicted model, not a curated record
AUUCUGUCCUCUAGGUUUUGUACGAGGCACACUCAGAUCUCAUUUGAUUCAGUAUUAUGUCACUUCAAGAUACCUAGGUAUAAACUCCUAGGUCUUAUAUUU